UCUGGGGACGACUCCUAUCCCA
This 22-nucleotide unclassified non-coding RNA is filed under the name Mus musculus (house mouse). RNAcentral describes it as "oocyte_clustered_small_RNA5284". Lineage: Eukaryota; Metazoa; Chordata; Mammalia; Rodentia; Muridae. The record is from RNAcentral.